This 436-nucleotide ribosomal RNA is filed under the name Protancylus pileolus. Its description in RNAcentral is "partial large subunit ribosomal RNA". The record is from RNAcentral. Lineage: Eukaryota; Metazoa; Mollusca; Gastropoda; Protancylidae.
AGUUUAAAGAAACUAUUUUAAAUGAAUCCUGCCCAGUGUNAGAUUAUAAAUGGCCGCAGUACCUUGACUGUGCAAAGGUAGCAUAAUCAAUUGGCUUUUAAUUGAAGUCUGGAAUGAAUGGAAUUUUGAAAAAAUUCUGUCUUAAAAAUAUUUAAUUGAAUUUAAUUAUUAGGUGAAAAUACCUAUAUUAAAGAAAAAAGACGAGAAGACCCUUAGAAUUUUAAUAAUAUUAUAUUUAUUAAAUUUAUUUUUGUUGGGGCGACAAUUAAACAUAUUUAAACUUUAAUUUAAUUCAUAACGAAAUUUGUUAUAUAAGAAUAAAUUACCUUAGGGAUAACAGCAUAAUUUUUUAAAAAGUUUGUGACCUCGAUGUUGGACUAGGAACUUGAUGGCUAGCAGUCAAUAUAGAUUUGUUCUGUUCGAACAAUUUAAUCCU